UAGGCGCACGUGUGAGUAACACGUGACUAACCUACCCUCGAGUGGGGAAUAACCUAGAGAAAUCUGGGCUAAUACCGCAUAACACUUACGAGUCAAAGCAGAGAUGCUCUUGAGGAGGGGGUCGCGGCAGAUUAGCUAGUUGGUGGGGUAAUGGCCCACCAAGGCAAUGAUCUGUAUCCGGCCUGAGAGGGCGCACGGACACACUGGAACUGAAACACGGUCCAG
RNAcentral lists this ribosomal RNA (225 nucleotides) under uncultured bacterium. RNAcentral describes it as "partial 16S ribosomal RNA". It matches the Rfam family "Bacterial small subunit ribosomal RNA", at positions 95 to 334 of the family's 1533-position model. The record is from RNAcentral.